UGAAUACGAGACGCUACGGCGUCGAAGCAGUCUAUGUCAUACUUCCAAGAAAAGCUUGCAAUGUCAUAAACAAAUAAUGCCUGUACCAUAACCGACACAGGUGGGUAGGUAGAGUAUACUAAGGGGCGCGAGAUAACUCUCUCUAAGGAACUCGGCAAAAUGACUCCGUAACUUCGGGAGAAGGAGUGCCUUAUUUAUAAGGUUGCAAUAACAAGAUCCAAGCAACUGUUUAUCAAAAACACAGGUCUCCGCUAAGUCGUAAGACGAUGUAUGGGGGCUGACGCCUGCCCAGUGCCAGAAGGUUAAAGAAGUCGGUUAGCAUUAGCGAAGCUGAUAACUGAAGCCCUGGUGAACGGCGGCCGUAACAAUAACGGUCCUAAGGUAGCGAAAUUCCUUGUCGGGUAAGUUCCGACCCGCACGAAAGGCGUAAUGAUUUGGAUACUGUCUCGGAGAGGGGCUCGGUGAAAUAGACUUGUCUGUGAAGAUGCGGACUACCUGCACCUGGACAGAAAGACCCUAUGAAGCUUUACUGUAACUUGAAAUUGAAAUUGGACUUUAUUUGCGCAGUAUAGGUGGGAGGCUUUGAGAAUAUUCUUGCGGGAAUGUUGGAGCCAUCGGUGAGAUACCACUCUUGUAAUGUUAGAUUUCUAACUUUGUAUCAUUAUCUGGUCAAAGGACAGUUUCAGGCGGGCAGUUUGACUGGGGCGGUCGCCUCCUAAACGGUAACGGAGGCGUACAAAGGUUUCCUCUGAACGGGUAGAAAUCGUAUCUAGAGUGUAAAGGCAUAAGGAAGCUUGACUGUGAGACCUACAAGUCGAGCAGGGACGAAAGUCGGUCUUAGUGAUCUGACGGUGCUGAGUGGAAAGGCCGUCACUCAACGGAUAAAAGUUACUCUAGGAUAACAGGCUGAUCUCCCCCAAGAGUUCACAUCGACGGGGAGGUUUGGCACCUCGAUGUCGGCUCAUCGCAUCCUGGGGCGGUAGUACGUCCCAAGGGUUGGGCUGUUCGCCCAUGAAAGCGGUACGCGAGCUGGGUUCAGAACGUCGUGAGACAGUUCGGUCCAUAUCCGGUGUAGGCGUUAGAAUAUUGAGAGGAGCCUUCUUUAGUACGAGAGGACCGAGAAGGACAUACCUCUGGUGUACCAGUUAUCGUGCCAACGGUAAACGCUGGGUAGCUAUGUGUGGAGAGGAUAACCGCUGAAAGCAUCUAAGUGGGAAGCCCACCUCAAGAUAAGUAUUCUCAU
This 1243-nucleotide ribosomal RNA is filed under the name metagenome. RNAcentral describes it as "bacterial LSU rRNA". It matches the Rfam family "Bacterial large subunit ribosomal RNA", at positions 1564 to 2817 of the family's 2925-position model. The record is from RNAcentral.